UGGAGGAAAGCUCUGGAGGUGUGGAGCUGCCUCUUUUUCUCAGUUGUUACAAGAACGUAUGCAACUCUCUCAGAAACACUACUCUGACUCAGGCAGAUUAAGUGGUAUUGUCUCUGAGGAACUGUGAUGAGGUAUCAGGGACAGAAGAUACUGAUGCAGUAUGUUUUAAAUGCAAUCAAUCUGUAUGACUUAAGACAAAAAACAUCACUCACACUCGUACACAUCCAGUUGGCAAAGCCUGUGAUACCCAUGGAACAGCCCACAUAGUUGGAUCCUUUCUCAAGCACUAAAAACAUACCAAGAAGAAAAGAAUUUAACUUUUUCUGUUAGCCUGAAAACACAUGAAUUUUUAGAAGGACUAUUAAUUGGUAUCCUGAACAUAUGGCAACUCCUUGCAUUGCCUAGGGAAGCUCUUGGCUUUCCAGUAGAAAACCUAUUAAACCAGUAAUGAGGGACUGGGUGUAUAAAGUGUUUAUGAGUUUCCCAUCUGUAGGCCAGACAGAAACAUCUCAUACCAAGUAUUUUGCUGUGUCAUCAACCCAUCUGCAGAACUGUCUUGUUGACCCCAGGUACGCAAUGUACUUGGCAAGCAAGAAAGAAACACAGAUGACAGGGGGAAAGGGGAGAGGUGAAGAAAGGAAGAUGGGUGCAAAAGGAAAAGAUAUAAGUGCUGAGCUUCCCACUCUCUGCAAUGCUGUCAGCCUGAACCAUGCAGACAUCUGGUGUGCAAGCAAAUUAUAGCCAAGGCAAAUUCUGUCUUGUAGUUAAGUUUGUCAUUCUCUCUGUCUUGCUUGCUUGUAUCCUCUUGCUCUUUCUUCCUCACUUGUUUUCUCUCUUUCUUUCUCACUCUUUAUUUCUUAAUUUCUUUUUUUUUUUUUCUUUCUCCAGCACCUGUCUUUGUAAUAAAUUAGUGGUCCAGCAGCCUUGGAUUAAUCCCAGAGGGAAAGAAUUGGAAGGCUACAGUGUGAUGACAACCCCAUGGCUAACAGCUAGACUCAUAAAGCCCUUUCUCAUUAAAGCAUUUCAGUUUUUAUGAUGGAAACCAAUCCAUCACAGUCA
Long non-coding RNA from Pezoporus flaviventris, 1059 nucleotides. RefSeq lists it as uncharacterized. The record is from RefSeq and is a predicted model, not a curated record. The transcript has 2 exons. Lineage: Eukaryota; Metazoa; Chordata; Aves; Psittaciformes; Psittacidae.